Molecule: ribosomal RNA, 458 nt
Filed under: uncultured Gaiellales bacterium
Lineage: Bacteria; Bacillati; Actinomycetota; Thermoleophilia; Gaiellales
Description: bacterial SSU rRNA
Rfam family: Bacterial small subunit ribosomal RNA
Source: RNAcentral
ACGGAAGGCAGCAGUGGGGAAUCUUGCCCAAUGGGCGAAAGCCUGAGGCAGCGACGCCGCGUGCGGGAAGAAGGCCUUCGGGUUGUAAACCGCUUUCAGGAGGGACGAAGCCACUCGGGUUAAUAGCCCAGAGGGUGACGGUACCUCCAGAAGAAGCCCCGGCUAACUACGUGCCAGCAGCCGCGGUAAUACGUAGGGGGCUAGCGUUGUCCGGAUUUAUUGGGCGUAAAGAGCGUGUAGGCGGCCAGGUAGGUCCGCUGUGAAAACUCGAGGCUCAACCUCGAGAGGUCGGUGGAAACCAUCUGGCUAGAGUCCGGAAGAGGAGAGUGGAAUUCCCGGUGUAGCGGUGAAAUGCGCAGAUAUCGGGAAGAAUAUCCGUGGCGAAGGCGGCUCUCUGGGACGGUACUGACGCUGAGACGCGAAAGCGUGGGGAGCGAACAGGAUUAGAUACCCUGGUA